CUACAAUCCUUUUAAUAUGCAAGUCUGAUCGUGACUCCACAGCUCACACUGUGUGGCUUCUCUCCAUCAGCACCGAGGAAGAUCUGAGACAACUUGCUUUCGUGGUUUAAAGAAAGAAAAGAAGAAAAAAGCCAGAAAGUUGAGCCAGAAAGAGGAAAAGAGGCGCAUACAGAGGAAAGGCAGGGCGAAGAGGAAAGAUUCAGAAAGAAGUUGGGAGACCAGGGAACUUGCGGAGGAAAGAAAGAAGACAAAGACGGCAAAAAAGUAAUGAGGGCUAGGGAAGAUCUUUAACGAACCGGAGUUACACCCAUCUUUCACUUUCAAGUCGAUUGGCUAGAUCUUAUCCGUUUCCUUUGUGAAGGUCGUCCGCACUGUUGAAGGAAGCUAGUCUGUCCUCCCCUCCGCAGCCCGCCCCACGCCUGGUUGCGUCGCUGUAUCCCCGGCCACUGAGACCCAAUCCAUCCCGAGUGGGAACGUUUGCAGGAGCGCCACUCUGGGAACACUCUUGCGCCUGGUUGUCACCCGGGAGCCUAACCGGAUUAAUACCCAGAGUUGGAUUACGCUGGCUGUCACCAAUACGCCUAAAGAUUAUAAUCCAAUUUAUGCACAUUACAGCCAGUAUUAACUUUAUCUGCUAUUUUAAGACUCCCAGUUGCCCCGCGUGUCCUCAGAGGACAAUCCUCCACGUUCUGAUGCAACCCACCAAGGCUGUCCGGAGGGGACACCUCCCGAAGAAAACAACUCCAAGCUUGGUUCCCCGAGGGUCUGCACCCGGUACUCCCAGGUGUCUUACCUUCACCUGGGCACCGCUGUGCGAUGCCUACCAGCCGGGGAUUACCAAAGCGGGAGGAGUUCCCUUGGAAGGAAAUGACAUUUUUGUUCAUUUCAUUUUUGAAUUAUCGGUGGCGGUGGCAGGCGGGGAGUGGGAGUGGUGGACGAGUGCCUGUGAGCGUGGAUGGGGAAGGGGGCCAGGGGAUUGUGACCGGUUAUAACAGUCUCAGCGACUGCUUUUUGAUGUUUGUUUGUAGAGUGGCACUUCUCUCGCUCUUUCCUUAAAUAAAUUUGUUUGGGCGUGA
Molecule: long non-coding RNA, 1076 nt
Organism: Suricata suricatta (meerkat)
Lineage: Eukaryota; Metazoa; Chordata; Mammalia; Carnivora; Herpestidae
Exons: 2
Source: RefSeq, a predicted model, not a curated record